UAUAAAUAUUUUCUAUUACCUAUUACAUGCAUUUAUUUACAAUUAAUUGUUAACGACUGCAAUUAUGCUAAUAUUCUUCAAGUCUUAAUACUAUUAUAUAUUAGUGCUGUCGUGCUGAACGUACCUAUUUGCGACAUUGGAAAUUAAAAAUGGUUACAGUGGAAGUAGAAAAUGGUAGUAACCAAGAAACUCCUACACCGAACAAUAAUUAUGUUUCAAAUAUCAAACAGAACGGUCACAGUAUAGAACCUAUGAAUCAGAUUCCUGGCUACUUGUCAAUUUAUGCAAUAUUUCAGAUAAUUGGAAUAUUUCUUAUAUUAUCUGUCUUUUUAUGGCUUCAAAUUUAUCGGACUGGUUUCGGUUUUAGUGGAACAAUUCAUAUAUGCAACUGGCAUCCUUUAUUAAUGACAAUCACGUUUAUUUAUUUAUUCGCAAAUUCUAUCCUCCAUUUCAGAAAUUUUCGAAAUACUACAAAACGAAAAUUAAAAAUGCAACAUGCAACAAUUCAUAGUUGCAUAGUCAUAUUUGGGUUUGCACAGUUGGUUGGGAAUUAUUACUGUUAUAAUGUUCCUCUCUCAGUUUACAAGUGGAUUCAUAUCUUUUCUUUACCCUGAAAUAGGGAUGAGAUAUAAAAAAGUUAUAAUGCCGUAUCACAUAAUUUUUGGUAUACUGACGUUCGUAUUAUCUAUUAUAACUUCAGUUCUGGGAUUUAGUGAAAAAAUCAUAUUUGCAUUGAACCAACAGUAUGAGCAUAUGCCGACGGAAGGAAUAUUUUUAAACUUUUUAGGGAUAAUAUUAAUUGUUUAUGGUGUAUUGGUCGUGUACAUAUUGAUCAAACCGGAAUAUAAAAGAUCUUCUAAGGCAGAUGACGG
RNAcentral lists this unclassified non-coding RNA (872 nucleotides) under Acyrthosiphon pisum (pea aphid). RNAcentral's name for it is "cytochrome b561-like, transcript variant X2". Lineage: Eukaryota; Metazoa; Arthropoda; Insecta; Hemiptera; Aphididae. The record is from RNAcentral.